AAUCCAAUUUUCUGCCACCGAAUACAUUAGCAUGGGAUAAUGGAAUAGGACCCUGUCCUCCUAUUUUCAGUUGGUUUUGGCAGCGCGAGGACUAGGGUAAUGAUUAAUAGGGAUAGUUGGGGGCAUUAAUAUUUAAUUGUCAGAGGUGAAAUUCUUGGAUUUAUGAAAGAUUAACUUCUGCGAAAGCAUCUGCCAAGGAUGUUUUCAUUAAUCAAGAACGAAAGUUAGGGGAUCGAAGACGAUCAGAUACCGUCGUAGUCUUAACCAUAAACGAUGCCGACCAGCGAUUAGGAGACGUUGAAUACAAAACACCACCAUCGGCGCGGUCGUCCUUGGCGUCGGUCCUUCACGGGGCCGGCGCGAGGGCGGCUUAGCCCGGUGGCACCGGUGAAUGACUCCCUAC
This 403-nucleotide ribosomal RNA is filed under the name Acanthamoeba castellanii. Its description in RNAcentral is "SSU rRNA". It matches the Rfam family "Eukaryotic small subunit ribosomal RNA", at positions 778 to 1084 of the family's 1831-position model. Lineage: Eukaryota; Discosea; Longamoebia; Acanthamoebidae. The record is from RNAcentral.